Molecule: ribosomal RNA, 253 nt
Filed under: uncultured bacterium
Lineage: Bacteria
Description: partial 16S ribosomal RNA
Rfam family: Bacterial small subunit ribosomal RNA
Source: RNAcentral
UACGAAGGGUGCAAGCGUUAAUCGGAAUUACUGGGCGUAAAGCGUGCGUAGGUGGUUUGUUAAGUCAGAUGUGAAAGCCCUGGGCUCAACCUGGGAACUGCAUUUGAUACUGGCAGGCUAGAGUGCGGUAGAGGGUGGUGGAAUUCCCGGUGUAGCGGUGAAAUGCGUAGAGAUCGGGAGGAACAUUCAUGGCGAAGGCGGCCACCUGGACCAGCACUGACGCUGAGGCACGAAAGCGUGGGGAGCAAACAGG